Non-coding RNA from Callithrix jacchus (white-tufted-ear marmoset), 125 nucleotides. The record is from Rfam. NCBI's taxonomy places the organism in Eukaryota, Metazoa, Chordata, Mammalia, Primates, Cebidae.
GAUUCAGAAUCCAAGGCUACAGGAGGUAAUAAGGCCAUUGGGCCUGCCUCUCCUCUCCUUCUCAGCUCCCCACUCCCCCUGCCCCCCUGCUUUUGUGGGUCUCCAUUCUGAGAUUUCCAUUGAGG